RNAcentral lists this transfer RNA (45 nucleotides) under Canis lupus (wolf). RNAcentral describes it as "partial tRNA-Ser". The record is from RNAcentral. Lineage: Eukaryota; Metazoa; Chordata; Mammalia; Carnivora; Canidae.
UUGGCUUGAAACCAAUUUUAGGGGGUUCGAUUCCUUCCUUUCUUA